AAGUCGUAACAAGGUUUCCGUAGGUGAACCUGCGGAAGGAUCAUUAAUGAGUUAGGGUCUCCGGGCCCGGCCUCCAACCCUUUGUUGUCACAAAACCAAUUGUUGCUUUGGCGUGGACCGCCCGCGAGGGCUGCCGGUCUCAGGCCCGGCAUGCGCCCGCCAGAGGAAAACCAAACUCUUGUUUAUCAAACCGUACGUCUGAGUAAAAAUGAUUAAAUCAAUCAAAA
This 227-nucleotide unclassified non-coding RNA is filed under the name plant metagenome. RNAcentral's name for it is "partial contains small subunit ribosomal RNA and internal transcribed spacer 1". The stretch from base 1 to 46 matches the Rfam family "Eukaryotic small subunit ribosomal RNA", at positions 1786 to 1831 of the family's 1831-position model. The record is from RNAcentral.